RNAcentral lists this ribosomal RNA (484 nucleotides) under uncultured bacterium. RNAcentral's name for it is "partial 16S ribosomal RNA". It matches the Rfam family "Bacterial small subunit ribosomal RNA", at positions 30 to 507 of the family's 1533-position model. The record is from RNAcentral.
AUUGAACGCUGGCGGCAGGCCUAACACAUGCAAGUCGAGCGGAUGAAGGGAGCUUGCUCCUGGAUUCAGCGGCGGACGGGUGAGUAAUGCCUAGGAAUCUGCCUGGUAGUGGGGGAUAACGUCCGGAAACGGGCGCUAAUACCGCAUACGUCCUGAGGGAGAAAGUGGGGGAUCUUCGGACCUCACGCUAUCAGAUGAGCCUAGGUCGGAUUAGCUAGUUGGUAGGGUAAAGGCCUACCAAGGCGACGAUCCGUAACUGGUCUGAGAGGAUGAUCAGUCACACUGGAACUGAGACACGGUCCAGACUCCUACGGGAGGCAGCAGUGGGGAAUAUUGGACAAUGGGCGAAAGCCUGAUCCAGCCAUGCCGCGUGUGUGAAGAAGGUCUUCGGAUUGUAAAGCACUUUAAGUUGGGAGGAAGGGCAGUAAGUUAAUACCUUGCUGCUUUGACGUUACCAACAGAAUAAGCACCGGCUAACUUCGUG